Molecule: unclassified non-coding RNA, 1095 nt
Filed under: Hevea brasiliensis (rubber tree)
Lineage: Eukaryota; Viridiplantae; Streptophyta; Magnoliopsida; Malpighiales; Euphorbiaceae
Source: RNAcentral
GUCCAUGUUGCUCCAAGGAAGGACUCAACCGAGGAGCCUGGACGGCCUUGGAAGACAAAACUCUCACAGCUUACGUUAAAGCUCAUGGAGAAGGCAAAUGGAGAAACCUCCCCAAGAGGGCUGGUUUGAAGAGAUGUGGUAAGAGCUGUAGACUUAGAUGGUUAAAUUACUUGAGACCAGACAUCAAGAGAGGUAACAUAUCCCAUGAUGAAGAAGAACUCAUUAUUAGGCUCCAUAAGCUUCUUGGUAACAGAUGGUCUCUAAUAGCUGGAAGGCUACCUGGGCGAACAGACAAUGAAAUCAAGAACUAUUGGAACACCACUCUGGGAAAGAAAGUUAAUGCGCAAUCAACUUCGCCACAGUCCAAACAUGAUACUGCUACCUAUUCUAGGCAGAAAAGGCUAACCACUGAACCCAACUCCAACAAAGCCUCAAACUCACCACAGCCAGCCAAAGUCAUCCGCACCAAGGCCACUAGGUGCACCAAAGUCCUCAUCCCAUUACAGUCUUCACCUCUGCAGCCUGAAUUUCACACCCUCAACCCAACAGCCAACAGCGACACACUACCUCAAACUUUCUCGCCAAAUCAUCCUAAUCAAGAUUUCGAUUCUUCUCGACUACUCCACUCUGGAACAUUUACUAAUCAGGACCUUCAUCAGGAUUACGAUCAUGAUUUAGAUUUCUUGAAUCUUGACUGUCAUGAAUUUCAAGCAAGCCAUGGAGAUGGUGCUCUAGUGGACUAUAAUUACAAGGAAAAUUUAUCCAUGGGUCUUGAUCAUCAUCAGUCCGUACCCUUAGAGGAGCCUACAAUGUUCAACGACUGGGUCACCAGUACUUGUCUCGACGACAAUGCCAAUUUGGACCUUGAAUCCUUAGCAGUUUUGCUCGAGUCUGAGGAAUGGGCACUACAGUAGUUAACCAUAAAGAAAGACUGUCUUAUAAUAUAGAAGAAAAAUAAAUAAAUUUGUGAAUAAAUAACUAUAUAUUAGCAUCAACUGUUGCAUGUCACUUGUAGAAUUUGAAGUAACCAAUUAGUAAUUAACUAGCAUGUUGACAUUGAAAAUUUCUUGGCGGGCAAUAUUUUUCUUAUUGUAA